This 223-nucleotide long non-coding RNA is filed under the name Musa acuminata (dwarf banana). RNAcentral's name for it is "long non-coding RNA (MACU_LNC007090)". The record is from RNAcentral. Lineage: Eukaryota; Viridiplantae; Streptophyta; Magnoliopsida; Zingiberales; Musaceae.
ACUAAGGAGAUGUGUAUUGCGUCAUACCUUGUGGCUAAGCGGAUUUGCUCUUUUCUUUCAGUAGGGCGUCUGUCAGGCUGGUUGUUCGUUGCGCUUUAAAUGUUCAACCUGUCUUAUUACUGUUAGAGCAGGUAUCUCCCCUAUAUCUUAUGAGCUGUCCGUUCCAGUGUCCCUCACGGGGUCAGGCCUCCCUAGGAUUCUCCCUUCCGCGACCAUAGAAGGC